UACGGGGGGGGCAAGCGUUGUUCGGAAUUACUGGGCGUAAAGGGUUCGUAGGUGGCCAACUAAGUCAUACGUGAAAUCCCUCAGCUUAACUGGGGAACUGCGUCUGAUACUGGUUGGCUUGAGUGCAGGAGAGGAACGCGGAAUUCCAGGCGUAGCGGUGAAAUGCGUAGAUAUCUGGAGGAACACCGGUGGCGAAGGCGGCGUUCUGGACUGCAACUGACACUGAGGAACGAAAGCCAGGGGAGCAAACGGG
Molecule: ribosomal RNA, 253 nt
Filed under: uncultured bacterium
Lineage: Bacteria
Description: partial 16S ribosomal RNA
Rfam family: Bacterial small subunit ribosomal RNA
Source: RNAcentral